This 250-nucleotide ribosomal RNA is filed under the name uncultured bacterium. RNAcentral describes it as "partial 16S ribosomal RNA". It matches the Rfam family "Bacterial small subunit ribosomal RNA", at positions 102 to 339 of the family's 1533-position model. The record is from RNAcentral.
ACGGGUGAGUAACACGUAGGUGACCUACCUAUCAGUGGGGGAUAACCAGGAGAAAUUCUGGCUAAUACCGCAUACGUAGUACAAAUUUGAAAGUAGUACUAGAAAGGAUGCCUCUGUAUAUGCAUUCGCUGAUAGAUGGGCCUGCGGGACAUUAGCUUGAUGGUGGGGUAACGGCCUACCAUGGCGACGAUGUCUAGCGGAUCUGAGAGGAUGAUCCGUCACACUGGAACUGAGACACGGUCCAGACUCC